AGGGCUCAGAUUCGCCUUUUCUCAGACAGAAGAGAGAAGAGGUUUCCAUAGGCUGCGUUGGGCAUCUGUGCAAAGCGCCACAAGUGUAACUUCACACAGACACAGAACCACCUCGCCAUGAAACAACUCUUCACCCAAUGCUUGAUUCAAUUGCUGAAAACAUCAUCACUGCCUUGUUACCAAAGAAGAAGAAGAAGAAGAAUGAAGGGGUUAACAUUGCUUUGUUAUCUAAAAAGAAGAAGAAAAAGAAAAGGUUAAUAUACGCGUUGUUAAAUAGCAGCUAUAGUGGCGCUAUAACGUAGAGGAAUUUGAACAAACCGCUAUUAUUCUGAGAUACGCUAUCCAGUACAAAAUAUUGUCAAAUAGCGGCUAUAGUGGCACUAUAGCACUAUUGCACAGCGGAAGUAAUAGAAGGUAUGUGUGGAGAGUUGUUUGUAAAUUUCACUGAGACGGAUCAUCG
Molecule: long non-coding RNA, 460 nt
Filed under: Medicago truncatula (barrel medic)
Lineage: Eukaryota; Viridiplantae; Streptophyta; Magnoliopsida; Fabales; Fabaceae
Description: lncRNA gene47765
Source: RNAcentral